This 676-nucleotide long non-coding RNA is filed under the name Elaeis guineensis (African oil palm). Its description in RNAcentral is "long non-coding RNA (EGUI_LNC039299)". Lineage: Eukaryota; Viridiplantae; Streptophyta; Magnoliopsida; Arecales; Arecaceae. The record is from RNAcentral.
GGCAAUCUGCAAUCUUAUGUCCUUUCUGUCCACAUCUAAAACACGAACCGGUAUUUCAUGGGCAAUUAGAAGUCUCAUGCUCUCUUCGGCCGCAUCUCGAACAUCUAGCUGCCACAUUCUCAUGAUUCUUAUCAGUUGCUGGCUUCUUUGCUGGAACCUUAUUGUUCUGAUUUCGUCCUUGAGUUUCACUAAACCUAUUUCUCUUUUUCUGAUUUCGUUCACGCUCCGCAUGAGCUUCAUUAGCUUCUCUCUCAAUUAUUAGAGCUUUGUUCACAACUGAGGCAUAGGUAGUUAGCUCAUAGGGUACAACCUGUUUUCUGAUUUUUAUAUUCAGUCCCAUUUCAAAUUUGUGUACUCUGUCUUGCUCAAUCUCAACUAUUCUCGGAACAAAUUUGGCUAACUCCGUGAAUUUGGCUUCAUAUUCUGCAACGGAUCUGUUACCCUGUCUUAGGUGAAUGAACUCCUGUUCUUUCUGUAUUCUGACACUUCGGGGGAAAUACUUGUCAAAGAAUUCAUCUCGAAAUCUCUCCCAAGUGAGUGGUAUCCCAUCGUGCUCAUAUUUUUAUUCCAGUAUACGCCACCAGUUGUAUGCCUCGCCUUGUAGCAGAUAUGCUGUAUAGCGGAUCUUCUCUUCAUCAUGGCAUUCUUGCACGGCGAAGGCCUUCUCCAUUUCCNN